RNAcentral lists this ribosomal RNA (497 nucleotides) under uncultured bacterium. RNAcentral describes it as "partial 16S ribosomal RNA". It matches the Rfam family "Bacterial small subunit ribosomal RNA", at positions 28 to 507 of the family's 1533-position model. The record is from RNAcentral.
GAUGAACGCUGGCGGCGUGCCUAAUACAUGCAAGUCGAGCGAACAGACGAGGAGCUUGCUCCUCUGACGUUAGCGGCGGACGGGUGAGUAACACGUGGAUAACCUACCUAUAAGACUGGGAUAACUUCGGGAAACCGGAGCUAAUACCGGAUAAUAUAUUGAACCGCAUGGUUCAAUAGUGAAAGACGGUUUUGCUGUCACUUAUAGAUGGAUCCGCGCCGCAUUAGCUAGUUGGUAAGGUAACGGCUUACCAAGGCAACGAUGCGUAGCCGACCUGAGAGGGUGAUCGGCCACACUGGAACUGAGACACGGUCCAGACUCCUACGGGAGGCAGCAGUAGGGAAUCUUCCGCAAUGGGCGAAAGCCUGACGGAGCAACGCCGCGUGAGUGAUGAAGGUCUUCGGAUCGUAAAACUCUGUUAUUAGGGAAGAACAAAUGUGUAAGUAACUAUGCACGUCUUGACGGUACCCAAUCAGAAAGCCACGGCUAACUACGUG